This 72-nucleotide transfer RNA is filed under the name Bos taurus (domestic cattle). It matches the Rfam family "tRNA". Rfam says of the family: Transfer RNA (tRNA) molecules are approximately 80 nucleotides in length. Their secondary structure includes four short double-helical elements and three loops (D, anti-codon, and T loops). Further hydrogen bonds mediate the characteristic L-shaped molecular structure. tRNAs have two regions of fundamental functional importance: the anti-codon, which is responsible for specific mRNA codon recognition, and the 3' end, to which the tRNAs corresponding amino acid is attached (by aminoacyl-tRNA synthetases). tRNAs cope with the degeneracy of the genetic code in two manners: having more than one tRNA (with a specific anti-codon) for a particular amino acid; and 'wobble' base-pairing, i.e. permitting non-standard base-pairing at the 3rd anti-codon position. The record is from Rfam by way of RNAcentral. RNAcentral also lists the same sequence under 3 other names. Lineage: Eukaryota; Metazoa; Chordata; Mammalia; Artiodactyla; Bovidae.
UCCCUGGUGGCUCAGUGGUUAAGAAUCUGCCUGUCAACGCAGGAGACACAGGUUCAAUCCCUGGCCCGGGAA